RNAcentral lists this ribosomal RNA (495 nucleotides) under uncultured bacterium. RNAcentral's name for it is "partial 16S ribosomal RNA". It matches the Rfam family "Bacterial small subunit ribosomal RNA", at positions 28 to 507 of the family's 1533-position model. The record is from RNAcentral.
GACGAACGCUGGCGGCGUGCCUAAUACAUGCAAGUAGAACGCUGAAGGAGGAGCUUGCUUCUCUGGAUGAGUUGCGAACGGGUGAGUAACGCGUAGGUAACCUGCCUGGUAGCGGGGGAUAACUAUUGGAAACGAUAGCUAAUACCGCAUAAUAGUAGAUGUCGCAUGACAUUUGCUUAAAAGGUGCAAUUGCAUCACUACCAGAUGGACCUGCGUUGUAUUAGCUAGUUGGUGAGGUAACGGCUCACCAAGGCAACGAUACAUAGCCGACCUGAGAGGGGGAGCGGCCACACUGGGACUGAGACACGGCCCAGACUCCUACGGGAGGCAGCAGUAGGGAAUCUUCGGCAAUGGACGGAAGUCUGACCGAGCAACGCCGCGUGAGUGAAGAAGGUUUUCGGAUCGUAAAGCUCUGUUGUAAGAGAAGAACGAGUGUGAGAGUGGAAAGUUCACACUGUGACGGUAGCUUACCAGAAAGGGACGGCUAACUACGUG